RNAcentral lists this ribosomal RNA (301 nucleotides) under uncultured soil bacterium. RNAcentral describes it as "bacterial SSU rRNA". It matches the Rfam family "Bacterial small subunit ribosomal RNA", at positions 26 to 337 of the family's 1533-position model. The record is from RNAcentral.
AGGACGAACGCUGGCGGCGUGCUUAACACAUGCAAGUCAAGGGGGCCCAGCAAUGGGCAACCGGCGAACGGGUGCGUAACACGUGAGCAACCUACCGAAAUGUGGGGGAUAGCCGGCCUAACGGCCGAGUAAUACCGCAUACGCUCUCGAUGAGGCAUUUCAUUGAGAGGAAACCUACGGGACAUUUCGAGGGGCUCGCGGCCUAUCAGCUAGUUGGCGAGGUAACGGCUCACCAAGGCAACGACGGUAGCUGGUCUGAGAGGAUGGCCAGCCACAUUGGGACUGAGAUACGGCCCAGACU